UUAUCUUUUUUUUCUUUACAAAAUCUCUCUCUCUCUCACUGUUUACUCAAUGUCACAUGCUGUUUUAUUUCAAUUAUGUAAAGCACUUUGAAAUGCCCUGCUACUGAAAUGUGCCACACAAACAAAAUUYAAUUUAUGGAUUGGUUCUGUUCCUGAAACUCACUACCUAAAUCUUAUAGUACUGCAUAUGCUGCUUUUAUUUCAUAUUUACAACAAGAACUGUCUGUGUACAGACUUCUCAAAUCUUUCACUUGUAGCACUCAGAUGUGCUCUCCUCCUGUUUCUGAGGCAGAACUGCGUGUACUGUCAGUUCAGCCACAGAAACAUCCAAACUAAAUUGCAAAUCGCAACAAGGUAGAGCCAAUCGUUAUCAGGAUAAUCUAGGAGCAUAAGUCCUACCAUUCCUAGUCAUACAAAGAAAGUGCAAUAUGUCCAUCACGGUCAUAUCCCGGGUGAUUCAAACUCACAGCUCUGUGACUUGGGGACAUCUAAAUGAUUUGAAACAAUAAAAACAAUAUCAAAACUAAAAGAAGCUCUGUUCCUGGAGACUGACAGCUCAGAUGUACACAGUGUAUAACACUCACUAACUGAAUGUGAUAACAAGUAUGUGCGGCCUUAAUCCAAGAACACAGUGUAAGUGCAUUUAACAAAAUGUUAUUCCUUUCUUACCUGAAUAAAAGCUUGACCUCUAAUAAGUAACACUGCACUAGCUGCUGCUGUCCCCUCCACUGCAGCAGGCUUAUGGAAACCGCCAAAUGUUAGGACCCAGUUAAAAAUCAAAAGCGACAGGUGUGAUGUCAGUGUACCCCAAGUCAGUGGGACGUGUGGCCCAGAACACUGUAUUUCAUCUGUUUCGUGGAUUGGGAGAAGAAAAAGCGAGGAGGAGGAAUAUACCGUCAGUCUAAAAUCUACAGGGAGCAUGAAAUUACACAUCCCAAUAUCCAAAACUAUGAGCCAGAGUGCAGAGCCAAAAAAUCAUAUGGCACUGUCACUUCGAACAUGCUUUUGAGUCAAACUCAUGCACCAGCAACAGAUACUUAGCCACAAAAAUGCAAAACAUGUUCCAGGCACUACCUACUAAAGUUACAUCAAACUACUCCUGGAACCAUUCUGUCCAAUUAAAUCAUUAAAACAGGGUGGCAUGGGAAAAGGUCAAAAAUCAACCCAGAGAAUAUAAGUGUUCGGAUCUAGGGUUUCCAAAGUGAGAAGCAGGACCAAAGCUUGGUGUGUUCAUUCGUGUCCAGCUGUCAGCCAGGUGCUCCACAAUCCAAAAGACAUGUCCCUGACACUGGAAUAUAUACAAAGAGUCUUUCUGGGCUUAAACCCCAAACGAGGGUCGAAGGCUGAGAUGAAGGGGAAGAAGCAUCAUCACAUUCCACCCCGACUGCUCAAGUUUGUAAAUGAACUGUAUGACUUUGACAGUCCAUGGAAAAUUUGAUUCUUGUAAAAGGUGAUGCUUCAUAAUGUUCUCUGUUCUGUUGACAGCAGUUCAGAAAAUAGUAGUUGGAUGUUGGUCCUUGUUUACACCUGUGAUUUUAAUCUUGUAAUGCAAAUUGCAAGAUUUAAAUUGUAUUUUUUAUGUUAGUGUUGGAUUGUGUUAAUUAAAUUAAACUUAACAAAAUUAUUAAAUUAACUUGAAACUCUGGACUCAAGAAUGAACUUUACAUUGACCUUAARAACUUUAAAAAUAUGUUUGACUGAAUAUAUAAUCGAAAAUGCUAUUUAAUUAUAUUGUAAUGAUGUGUUGAUAUGGUAUUGAAAAACCUUGAACUGCAAAAUAAAAUUUGCAAAUUGAU
This is a long non-coding RNA of Poecilia reticulata (guppy), 1796 nucleotides long. RefSeq lists it as uncharacterized. The record is from RefSeq and is a predicted model, not a curated record. Lineage: Eukaryota; Metazoa; Chordata; Actinopteri; Cyprinodontiformes; Poeciliidae.